AUAAAGGUUUUUUUUAAAACCAAACAUAAUCUUGAUCUCUUGACAU
Molecule: non-coding RNA, 46 nt
Organism: Monodelphis domestica (gray short-tailed opossum)
Lineage: Eukaryota; Metazoa; Chordata; Mammalia; Didelphimorphia; Didelphidae
Source: Rfam